This is a long non-coding RNA of Cyanistes caeruleus (blue tit), 664 nucleotides long. RefSeq lists it as uncharacterized. The record is from RefSeq and is a predicted model, not a curated record. NCBI's taxonomy places the organism in Eukaryota, Metazoa, Chordata, Aves, Passeriformes, Paridae.
AACAAAGAGAGCCCAGAGAGCUCUGCUUUUACAUUUUAAGGGACUUCACUGAAUCCAUCAAUACAUACAACUAGAUGGCUGCACUGAAGAUAGUUUCCCUACAGUCUCCUCAGUCACUGGACACAAGUGACAGUGAAGAUUAAUUACAACAUCCAACUCAGGUCAACCCAAAUGUCUCUACCAUGAAGCUGAAUUUUUAAUCUUCUCCCAAAGGGCAUUUCUGUAACUCUGAGUCCUUUAUUAUGUAUGACAACUGAGUGACCAAGAGAUGUAUGUGUUCAAGUAAGGACUGCCUCCCCUUCUCAAUCUUAUCUCUCAGGUUACAAGUUUUACAGCAGGUUUUGGCAAUAAAUGAACUGAGACUUCAACAACAGAGCUGAAGUAUAAGGAUGUGGUAGAUUGAUCUGAGAAAUCCAAACGAUCUGCUGAUCUUGGAAGUGAAAAAGUUUUGUAACCCAAGUGCAUCAUUUGUAUUCUUUAUGCAUUAACACUGAUAUAUAAAAAAAACAUGAAAGAAGAAUCUCUUGGAUGCAGAAUACCCAGCUGAGUUCAGGCACAUUGCAUAUAGAUUAAUAAUUUGUAUGUAAUUUGGAAAGUCCAUCUGAAGACUUCACAAACCCCUGGGUUAAAGACAUUCUCCACUCCUAAUAAUAAAAGCUUUUUU